This 468-nucleotide ribosomal RNA is filed under the name uncultured bacterium. Its description in RNAcentral is "partial 16S ribosomal RNA". It matches the Rfam family "Bacterial small subunit ribosomal RNA", at positions 28 to 507 of the family's 1533-position model. The record is from RNAcentral.
GACGAACGCUGGCGGCGUGCUUAACACAUGCAAGUCGAACGGAAAGGCCCUGCUCUUGUGGGGUGCUCGAGUGGCGAACGGGUGAGUCACACGUGAGUAACCUGCCCUUGACUUUGGGAUAACUUCAGGAAACUGGGGCUAAUACCGGAUAGGAGCUCCUGCUGCAUGGUGGGGGUUGGAAAGUUUCGGCGGUUGGGGAUGGACUCGCGGCUUAUCAGCUUGUUGGUGGGGUAGUGGCUUACCAAGGCUUUGACGGGUAGCCGGCCUGAGAGGGUGACCGGCCACAUUGGGACUGAGAUACGGCCCAGACUCCUACGGGAGGCAGCAGUGGGGAAUAUUGCACAAUGGGCGGAAGCCUGAUGCAGCAACGCCGCGUGCGGGAUGACGGCCUUCGGGUUGUAAACCGCUUUCGCCUAUGACGAAGCUUUGGUGACGGUAAGUGGGAAAAGAGCACCGGCUAACUACGUG